UACGUAGGGGCCGAGCGUUGUCCGGAUUUAUUGGGCGUAAAGCGCGCGCAGGCGGCUUCGCGCGCCCGCCGUGAAAGCCCCCGGCUUAACCGGGGAGAGUCGGUGGGGACGGCGGAGCUUGAGGGCGGGAGAGGUCGGUGGAAUUCCCGGUGUAGUGGUGAAAUGCGUAGAGAUCGGGAGGAACACCUGUGGCGAAGGCGGCCGACUGGGCCGACCCUGACGCUGAGGCGCGAAGGCGUGGGGAGCGAACGGG
RNAcentral lists this ribosomal RNA (253 nucleotides) under uncultured bacterium. RNAcentral's name for it is "partial 16S ribosomal RNA". It matches the Rfam family "Bacterial small subunit ribosomal RNA", at positions 524 to 776 of the family's 1533-position model. The record is from RNAcentral.